GAGGAAUAUUGGUCAAUGGGCGAGAGCCUGAACCAGCCAAGUCGCGUGAAGGAAGACGGAUCUAUGGUUUGUAAACUUCUUUUAUACGGGAAUAACGGUCGUUAUGAAUAACGGCGUGAAUGUACCGUAAUGAAUAAGCAUCGGCUAACUCCGUGCCAGCAGCCGCGGUAAUACGGAGGAUGCGAGCGUUAUCCGGAUUUAUUGGGUUUAAAGGGUGCGUAGGUUGUAGAUUAAGUCAGCGGUGAAAGAUUGUCGCUCAACGAUAAUAAUGCCGUUGAAACUGGUCUACUAGCGUGUAAUAGAAGUAGGCGGAAUGCGUGGUGUAGCGGUGAAAUGCAUAGAUAUCACGCAGAACUCCGAUAGCGAAGGCAGCUUACUAAGUUAUAACGGACACUGAAGCACGAAAGCGUGGGGAUCAAACA
RNAcentral lists this ribosomal RNA (422 nucleotides) under uncultured Porphyromonadaceae bacterium. Its description in RNAcentral is "bacterial SSU rRNA". It matches the Rfam family "Bacterial small subunit ribosomal RNA", at positions 356 to 774 of the family's 1533-position model. The record is from RNAcentral. Lineage: Bacteria; Pseudomonadati; Bacteroidota; Bacteroidia; Bacteroidales; Porphyromonadaceae.